Long non-coding RNA from Arabidopsis lyrata subsp. lyrata, 435 nucleotides. RefSeq lists it as uncharacterized. The record is from RefSeq and is a predicted model, not a curated record. Lineage: Eukaryota; Viridiplantae; Streptophyta; Magnoliopsida; Brassicales; Brassicaceae. The transcript has 5 exons.
AAAAAUAAUAAUUAAAAAUUCAGACCGGUGGAUCAUUCCGCCGGACCAACGCCGGCUGGGUAGCCGACUAACUAGUGAAUACAGGAUUAUACUUUUAUUUUUGAAUGUGAAAACAUAUAAAUGAACAAGUGUUCAAGGAGACAAUGGACCUGAAAACAGUGAUACAACAGAAGUUGUGUCAUCACGAUUAAGCCUAAGGACAGGACUUCCACCAUUGAUGCUUCGGUUUGUUAUUCGCCGAUUGCUGGUAGCUGGCCUUGACAUGUAAAAACUAUCUGGCUCAGCCACAGCUUAUUGUAUUCUUGCAACAUUGCAACAAGAGGUACCUGGAGAGGUAACAGGUUUCGAUGAGCAUUGCUACUUACUGAGUACCGAUUCUCAUCCUGUGACAACGUUAGUGUUUCUUGAAUGAGUUAGAGUACAGAGGAAAAAUGU